UACGAAGGGGGCUAGCGUUGUUCGGAAUCACUGGGCGUAAAGGGCGCGUAGGCGGCCGAUCAAGUCGGGGGUGAAAGCCUGUGGCUCAACCACAGAAUUGCCUUCGAUACUGUUUGGCUUGAGACCGGAAGAGGUAAGUGGAACUGCGAGUGUAGAGGUGAAAUUCGUAGAUAUUCGCAAGAACACCAGUGGCGAAGGCGGCUUACUGGUCCGGUUCUGACGCUGAGGCACGAAAGCGUGGGGAGCAAACAGG
RNAcentral lists this ribosomal RNA (253 nucleotides) under uncultured bacterium. Its description in RNAcentral is "partial 16S ribosomal RNA". It matches the Rfam family "Bacterial small subunit ribosomal RNA", at positions 524 to 776 of the family's 1533-position model. The record is from RNAcentral.